RNAcentral lists this ribosomal RNA (476 nucleotides) under uncultured bacterium. RNAcentral's name for it is "partial 16S ribosomal RNA". It matches the Rfam family "Bacterial small subunit ribosomal RNA", at positions 29 to 507 of the family's 1533-position model. The record is from RNAcentral.
AUUAACGCUGGCGGCGUGCAUAACACAUGCAAGUCGAACGAUGAAGAUUAUUAGACUUCUUCGGAAUGAAAAUAAUUGGAUUAGUGGCGGACGGGUGAGUAACGCGUGAGUAACCUGCCUUACACAAGGGGAUAGCCGUUGGAAACGACGAAUAAUACCCUAUGAAACUAUCACUUCGCAUGAAGCGAUAGUCAAAGUGUUAGCGGUGUAAGAUGGACUUGCGUCUGAUUAGCUAGUUGGUGAGAAAAAAGCCCACCAAGGCAACGAUCAGUAGCCGGCUUGAGAGAGUGUACGGCCACAUUGGGACUGAGACACGGCCCAGACUCCUACGGGAGGCAGCAGUGGGGAAUUUUGCACAAUGGGGGAAACCCUGAUGCAGCGACGCCGCGUGAUUUAGAAGGCCUUCGGGUUGUAAAAAUCUUUUGUAUAGGAAGAAAAUGACAGUACUAUACGAAUAAGGUCCGGCUAAUUACGUG